UACGUAGGGUGCAAGCGUUGUCCGGAAUUAUUGGGCGUAAAGGGCUCGUAGGCGGUCCAUCGCGUCGGGAGUGAAAAGCUGGGGCUUAACCCCAGUCCUGCUUCCGAUACGGGUGGACUAGAGGUAGGUAGGGGAGAACGGAAUUCCUGGUGUAGCGGUGAAAUGCGCAGAUAUCGGGAAGAACACCUAUGGCGAAGGCAGCUCUCUGGGACGGUACUGACGCUGAGACGCGAAAGCGUGGGGAGCGAACAGG
RNAcentral lists this ribosomal RNA (253 nucleotides) under uncultured bacterium. RNAcentral's name for it is "partial 16S ribosomal RNA". It matches the Rfam family "Bacterial small subunit ribosomal RNA", at positions 524 to 776 of the family's 1533-position model. The record is from RNAcentral.